GUAGGUGGCAAGCGUUGUCCGGAAUUAUUGGGCGUAAAGCGCGCGCAGGCGGUCCUUCAAGUCUGAUGUGAAAGCCCACGGGCUCAACCGUGGAGGGUCAUUGGAAACUGGGGGACUUGAGUACAGAAGAGGAAAGCGGAAUUCCAAGUGUAGCGGUGAAAUGCGUAGAGAUUUGGAGGAACACCAGUGGCGAAGGCGGCUUUCUGGUCUGUAACUGACGCUGAGGCGCGAAAGUGUGGGGAGCAAACAGGAUUAGAUACCCUGGUAGUCCACGCCGUAAACGAUGAGUGCUAAGUGUUAGGGGGUUUCCGCCCCUUAGUGCUGCAGCUAACGCAUUAAGCACUCCGCCUGGGGAGUACGGCCGCAAAGGCUG
RNAcentral lists this ribosomal RNA (373 nucleotides) under uncultured organism. Its description in RNAcentral is "partial 16S ribosomal RNA". It matches the Rfam family "Bacterial small subunit ribosomal RNA", at positions 527 to 896 of the family's 1533-position model. The record is from RNAcentral.